This 847-nucleotide ribosomal RNA is filed under the name uncultured bacterium. RNAcentral describes it as "bacterial SSU rRNA". It matches the Rfam family "Bacterial small subunit ribosomal RNA", at positions 646 to 1505 of the family's 1533-position model. The record is from RNAcentral.
GUGCGGCCGAGGCGGGCGGAAUUCGUGGUGUAGCGGUGAAAUGCUUAGAUAUCACGAAGAACUCCGAUUGCGAAGGCAGCCCGCCAGCCCGCUACUGACGUUGAGGCUCGAAGGUGCGGGUAUCGAACAGGAUUAGAUACCCUGGUAGUCCGCACGGUAAACGAUGGACACCCGCCGUGGGCGACAUACAGUCCGCGGCCAAGCGAAAGCGUUAAGUGUCCCGCCUGGGGAGUACGCCGGCAACGGUGAAACUCAAAGGAAUUGACGGGGGCCCGCACAAGCGGAGGAACAUGUGGUUUAAUUCGAUGAUACGCGAGGAACCUUACCCGGGCUCGAACCUCCCCCGAAUCCGGCGGAGACGCCGGAGCCAGCAAUGGCGGGGGCGGAGGUGCUGCAUGGUUGUCGUCAGCUCGUGCCGUGAGGUGUCGGCUUAAGUGCCAUAACGAGCGCAACCCCUCCCUCCAGUUGCCAUCGGGUAAUGCCGGGGACUCUGGAGGCACUGCCAUCGCAAGAUGCGAGGAAGGCGGGGAUGACGUCAAAUCAGCACGGCCCUUACGUCCGGGGCUACACACGUGUUACAAUGGGGGGUACAGAGGGCCGCUGCACGGCGACGUUCGGCCAAUCCCUAAAUCCCCUCCCAGUUCGGACCGGAGUCUGGAACCCGACUCCGCGAAGCUGGAUUCGCUAGUAAUCGCGCAUCAGCCAUGGCGCGGUGAAUACGUUCCCGGGCCUUGUACACACCGCCCGUCAAGCCAUGAAAGCCGGGNGNNNNNNNAGUGCGCUUCCGCGAGGGGCGCCCUAGGGUAAAACCGGUGAUUGGGGCUAAAUGGGAACAAGGUAGCCGUAA